GGGUUGUGGGGGCAGGAAGAGCUCAGUCUUCAAGGAAGGCCCCGCCCAUGGAUCCUUCUCAGGACAACACAAAGGCAACAGCGAGGCUGCCCUCCUAAGCCACAGAGGGCCUGGGCUCCCCAUCCUGCUCACCAGCACAUGGACCACA
This is a long non-coding RNA of Pipistrellus kuhlii (Kuhl's pipistrelle), 148 nucleotides long. RefSeq lists it as uncharacterized. Lineage: Eukaryota; Metazoa; Chordata; Mammalia; Chiroptera; Vespertilionidae. The record is from RefSeq and is a predicted model, not a curated record. The transcript is spliced from 3 exons.